This 432-nucleotide ribosomal RNA is filed under the name uncultured bacterium. Its description in RNAcentral is "bacterial SSU rRNA". It matches the Rfam family "Bacterial small subunit ribosomal RNA", at positions 338 to 762 of the family's 1533-position model. The record is from RNAcentral.
CCUACGGGGGGCAGCAGUGGGGAAUAUUGGACAAUGGGCGCAAGCCUGAUCCAGCCAUACCGCGUGGGUGAAGAAGGCCUUCGGGUUGUAAAGCCCUUUUGUUGGGAAAGAAAAGCAGUCGAUUAAUACUCGGUUGUUCUGACGGUACCCAAAGAAUAAGCACCGGCUAACUUCGUGCCAGCAGCCGCGGUAAUACGAAGGGUGCAAGCGUUACUCGGAAUUACUGGGCGUAAAGCGUGCGUAGGUGGUUGUUUAAGUCUGUUGUGAAAGCCCUGGGCUCAACCUGGGAAUUGCAGUGGAUACUGGGCGACUAGAGUGUGGUAGAGGGUAGUGGAAUUCCCGGUGUAGCAGUGAAAUGCGUAGAGAUCGGGAGGAACAUCCAUGGCGAAGGCAGCUACCUGGACCAACACUGACACUGAGGCACGAAAGCGU